Molecule: long non-coding RNA, 1614 nt
Filed under: Homo sapiens (human)
Lineage: Eukaryota; Metazoa; Chordata; Mammalia; Primates; Hominidae
Description: HSALNT0360999
Source: RNAcentral
UCCGAACCCCCCACCCGGGCCUUCUCCUUUAGCCUUCUGUAGGGGAAGGCACCGAGCAGGGCAGCUUGGGGCCAAGGGGGCACUGCCUGGUGGGUGCAGCUGUGGCAGAGGUGCAUGGCACCCCAUGCCAGAAUGAUGGGACCAGGCAAGGCCCAGGGUGUAGGAGGCCAUGAGGCACAGAAGUGAGGCCCGAGACCUGGCCUGUCGGGGGGAAGCUGCCCAAGCCCAAGCCUCAGCUGAGACCUGAGGGAGGACAAGUGUGGAGGCAGAGGGUGCUGCAGGCUGGAGCACGUCCCAUGCAGAGCCAGGCAGGCAACAGGCAGAGCGAGGGACAGGCGGCGGUGGGGCCUGGCCAUGGACCCCUUGCAGGGGACAUGGCACCUUUCCAGAGCCUGUGCCUACUGGGAAAGGGGGCGGGACCCAAUCCCACAGGGCGUCAGGGGGGUGUGGCAGAGGAGUUGGGGCAGGCGCAUCACACCUGGCUGCCAACCACAAGAUUCAACUUGGCCGGGGCAGACACGCUGUGUGGGAAAAUUAUCUUUUUUAUUUCAAAGCAAGGAAAUGUUGAACACAAACACGAAAUUCCAAAGAGUGACCCUCUGGGGUGAGUGGGGUGGGGGCAGAGCAGGGGCAGAAUGGAGACAGGACCCCUACGCUGAUGCAGGUUUGGGGGAUGUUUUAAUUCUUGGGCUGGAUAGUAGAUGCACGGGUGUUUGUUAAAUUUCCAAUAGAUGAGUGAAUGAGUAAAUGAAGGAGUAAGUGAGAGGCCUGCGGAAAGCAAACCAGCAAAUAUCAAACCGGCGCCCCUCUGAGCCCGGCUCCGUCCCUCUCGGGUGAUUCUGGUGUCCCUGCUGGAAGUGAGGCCUGCAGCCAGUACCCCAUGGGGCUGUCCCCCAGCUCUGCAUUCUAGAAAGGCCUCAGCAGGGUGGAGCACAGCGGAAGUCACCGCUGGGUUGGGGGGUGAGGAAUGGAGACGUGGAAGGGGCCGGGUCCCCAGGACUUGUUGGCUGAGGGACAUGAGGAAGGCAGGCACCUUGCUGGGGGCACGGGUGGGCAGAGACUGUUCUCCAGGGCAGGAGCCGUGAGAAAGUGGCCUUGGGAGGAGGUGAGGCACUCACUUUGGGGCUGCUGGGUUUGGGGGCCCUGUGGAAAUUCCGAGGGGAGACCUGGCCCAGGCAGCUGGAGCAGGGGCUGGGCUGGAGAUGUGGAUGUGGGUGUCCUGGGUGGUGAGCCGAUGGGCAGAGGUGCCUAAGGCCAGGGCGAGAGGAGACGAGGGGGAGGGUAGGGACAGCCAGGGCAGCCGGGGCAGGCACCAUGAGCCCCAGGGGAGUCCCGGAAGAGGAGGGGGACAGGCCCAGGGCAGGGGUUGUGGGCAGCCCUGUGCGUGGCUCUGGAGGUCGGGGAGGACAUGGCCUCUGAAGUCCCAGGAGGCCGUGGUGACGCAGAGGGCCUGCCCUGUGCCCCCGCUGAUGGGAGCGGCCAUCAGGACACAGACCGGCAGACAAGAUAACAAGCAGUGUCCGCGAGUCAGCCCGACUCUCCCCCAGCCCCAGCAAGGCCUGGCUCGGCGCCCUGGACCACCCAGCUGCUGAAUAUCACACCAGGACCACCAAG